GAUGAACGCUGGCGGCGUGCCUAAUACAUGCAAGUCGAGCGAACAGACGAGGAGCUUGCUCCUCUGACGUUAGCGGCGGACGGGUGAGUAACACGUGGAUAACCUACCUAUAAGACUGGGAUAACUUCGGGAAACCGGAGCUAAUACCGGAUAAUAUUUUGAACCGCAUGGUUCAAUAGUGAAAGACGGUUUUGCUGUCACUUAUAGAUGGAUCCGCGCUGCAUUAGCUAGUUGGUAAGGUAACGGCUUACCAAGGCAACGAUGCAUAGCCGACCUGAGAGGGUGAACGGCCAAACGGGGACCUGAAAACGGGCCAAGACCCUUAGGGAGGCAGCAGUAGGGAAUCUUCCGCAAUGGGCGGAAGGCUGACGGAGGAAAGGCGGGUGAGGGAAGAAGGUCCUCCGAUCGGUAAACUCCUGUAUUAGGGAAGAACCAAUGGGUAAAGUAAUGAUCACCGCUUGGACGGUACUAAACAAGAAAGCACGGCUAAACUACUG
This 497-nucleotide ribosomal RNA is filed under the name uncultured bacterium. RNAcentral describes it as "partial 16S ribosomal RNA". It matches the Rfam family "Bacterial small subunit ribosomal RNA", at positions 28 to 507 of the family's 1533-position model. The record is from RNAcentral.